GUCACUGAGAUUAGUUAAAUUCAAUAUACAGUUGCAAACUCCAUAUAUUCAUUUCAGGCUCAAAGGAAAGAAAACCUGACAAUGGCAAGCACAUGUACCCUGUUGGUUCCUGCAGGAACAGUUAAAUGCUUGCAUCUUCUCUCUUACCUCAAGGCAGCUGAAGUGAUUUUGCAGCAGGACUUGAGUGAUUGCAGUUUUCUUUCUCCCACCAGCUGCAUUAAUGAAGAAAGUCCAGUUGCCAAAUCAGAACAACUAUUUGAUCCUACAAUGGAGGAAACACUAACAAAAACGACAACCUUAUGCUACUGUCAGAAUGCGUAUUUGAUAACAUUUGUGACCUUGUAUUUGCUUUUCUUUCUGUGUUUAUUUUAUCUUUAUUCCUAUAACCAUCUGUGAUCUUUACAUAGAAUAUAAAUCAAAUAGGGAGUAUUUGUGCAGUAAAGAACACAACAAGGACACUAAAAUUACAGCAGCUGUCAGAUGCUCCUUCGGUUCAAAAAAUAACAAUAUGAGUAAAUUCUGUUUAUAUGGGUCUUUGGAUGCUUUACAGUUUUUACUGCAAAGGAGACUUUAUUGUGUUACCCCAAUCUGUGUUGAACUCAACAGCCAACAAGACAAAAGAAAAAUAAGAUGACAAAAUUAUUCAUUAUUACAUGUUGACAUCCACUAAAUCUAUCAAAUUUCUUUAUUCUGGUAAAGCUAAAGAAGUUUUUCUAUUUCAGAAAGUCUUUGGCAAAGAAAAUUUACAUAGCUGCAACUAGUAUUUGAAACAUAUGAACCCACCAUCGUCCAAAUCCUUCACUUCACUCCUAUUCAUCUUUCCCUUCUCCCUUCCACCUUCCCUUCUCAUUUGAGAUAUUUUCACACAGCUUUUCUAAGAAAGGAUGAAGCAGUAUAGAUCAUAUGUUUACCUCUUAAAGGAGGCAGGAGUUUCUGUAAUUAUGGAACGAUAAAUAUAUCUAAUUCAGUCUGUAUGCUAAAAGCAAAUCCUGUUACUUCAGAAAUAUGUAUCUCUUCUUUGAACUGCUUCCCCUUCAACACCUGUAGCGGACAAAAGAAAGACUGUGGCGAGCAGAAAGGGGAAUUCUUACUCCAGAAGCAAAAGUAAUCAGUAUUUAGGAGUUGUGAAGUCUCACCGAAGAAACAUUUCUUUCUUCUCCAAGAUUGGGAAAGCUGCCCAAUAUAACGAGCAUUUAUAUUGCCUGGAAAUUACAUUAGUACAUUUGGGAGAAGUUUCCUUGAAAUAUGGAUAGUUUCAGGGCCAGAUAUUUGGAACUACACACUCCUGGUAUAUUUGAAUAUUGUGCAAAUAUUUACCCAAGAGUAAUAUAUCAGUAAUUUCUGUUGGUUAUGCUGAAGUGUUUGCUGUAUAGACAUUUUGUUGCUCCAGAAAUCUAGCACUUAAGCUGUGAUAAACUAGUUUUGCAAACCAGAAUAGAGCACUUUGACUGAACUUUCAGUUCUGGAGAGAGCAAUACUCAAAGUAAAGACCAUGAUGUAAAAAUUUAUCUUCAUAUCACUUUACUUUUUCACGAACAAGAACAUAGGGAUGUCUGCUGGUGCAAAGAUGUUCUUUAGGGGCCUUUGGCUGAAGCACCCACACUCACUUUUUUCUAGACACCUGAGGGAAGACUGAAGUGGGGUCACGAUUGAAUUGCUUUGCUUGGACAUGAGUCCAACAUUGUGGAUGAGCAGGCUGAGUUCCUUUUCAUGCUCCUUGCCA
Catharus ustulatus (Swainson's thrush) is the source of this 1723-nucleotide long non-coding RNA. RefSeq lists it as uncharacterized. The record is from RefSeq and is a predicted model, not a curated record. NCBI's taxonomy places the organism in Eukaryota, Metazoa, Chordata, Aves, Passeriformes, Turdidae. The transcript is spliced from 3 exons.